CUUCUGGACCCAAAAUCCCUGGUCCCCUCCUAGACCACAUAUCCCAUAUAAAAGUCCCUCACGUGCAAAGCGCGUGCACGCGCCAACUCACCAAAAAACAAACCCUAACCUUGUGAUUUCCUUCCUUCUCCGGCGUCACCUCCGCAGCCAAAUCCCUCGUCGCCUGCGGCCUCCCUCCGAAGCCACCGCCCUCCAGCGCCACCUCCACACAAAGGCCCUACCCUCUCGACGACCAACGCCGCCUCCCUCCCGACGACCUCCAACGCCGCCUCCCCCCUAGCGUCGGGGACCUCCAACGCCGCCCUCGUCGCCUGCGGCCUCCCGUCCUCCACCUCCUGCCGACCUCCAGCGCCGCCUCUGGUUUUGUUUCCAGCAAACCUAUUUAGGUAUUCUCCAGCGACCUCCAUCCUUGCCACUGUGUGGGGAAGCAAGAUAAUUUAGGUAUUCUCCAGCAAGCCUAAAUUUUGGCUUUUUGGCAGUUACUACCCAUUUAUCGGGCAAAAGCAAGAUUCUGGUCUCUUCACCAAAUAAAUUAAGUUGUUUUGGUUCUAUGGGUUUCCUGGAGGAGUAUUGUGCUUGAGUUUACUUGAGUUUGAAACUUUGAUUGCAGGAGACAUUCACAUGCUGCCUGUGAUUCUUCGUGUAGGAAGAAUACUUAACUAUUGCAUAUCAUUUAAAUCUGUUUUAUGUCUUACCUUCUUGAGUAUAAAUCUCAUACAUGUGAUUUUUCCGUAUAGGAAGAAUACCUUACUUGUCUAUAUUAGUUAAAUCUGUUUUCUGUUCUAGCUUCUCGAGCAUUACGCUUGAGUCUUGAGUUUGGUUGCAGGAGACAUUUGCAUAUUACACAGCGAAAACAACUUUCAAACGACCUUUGUUAAAUGGGGUAGCAUAUGCUGAGAGAGUUGUUCAUUCCCAAAGGGAAACUUUUGAGAGUAGGCAGGGGUGGACCAUCAUGACCAUGAAAAGGGAGCCAUCACCCAUGCAGGAUGAAUAUGCUCCUGCAAUUUACUCCCAGGAGACUGUAUCUCACAUCGGCGUAAUUGUACAAGAAAAAAAAAAAUAUAGCACCUAGCUCUUCAUCAGCAUCAUCUUUCAUUCGACGAUGUAUGAACGAUGAGCAUUGUGAAACUCCUCACAUAUUAUGUAAUUGUGAGUUACGAGCUAUUCUCCAAACAUCAUGGACAAAAUAUAAUCCAGGAAGGUGAUUUUUUCAUGUCCAAAAUAUAGAUAAAGGGGAUGCGACUUCUUCUUAUGGUAUGAUUCAGAACCGUCAGAGAGAAGUAAGACAAUUAUUAAUGAGUUAAAGAAAAAUAACAACAAAUUAAAGUUAGAGAUUAGUGAAUUGAAGAAAUGUACUAGUUACGAGGGUGGCGUUGAAUACAAGGAUGUUCUGGAUGAUGGGAACAACAACCAUGUAAUAAUGCAGUUAAGUGAUGAAAUAUGUUCAUUGAAUAGGAAAUUUAGAAUUGUUAUCGUUGUAGUUGUAUGUACUUGGAUGAGUAUGUGGUUGAUCUAACUUAAUUUUUGAUGUAACUUAUGUAGAUAUGCAACUUCAGAGUUAAAAUAUUGACAAUCUUUGAGUCCA
Molecule: long non-coding RNA, 1585 nt
Organism: Zingiber officinale
Lineage: Eukaryota; Viridiplantae; Streptophyta; Magnoliopsida; Zingiberales; Zingiberaceae
Exons: 3
Source: RefSeq, a predicted model, not a curated record